UACAGAGGGGGCAAGCGUUAUUCGGAAUUAUUGGGCGUAAAGGGCGCGUAGGCGGCGAUUCAAGUGACGGGUGAAAUCCCUCGGCUUAACCGAGGAACUGCCUGUCAGACUGGGUUGCUUGAGACCGGGAGAGGCGAGUGGAAUUCCCAGUGUAGCGGUGAAAUGCGUAGAUAUCAGGAGGAAUACCGGUGGCGAAAGCGACUCUCUGGACGGCAACUGACGCUGAGGCACGAAAGCGUGGGGAGCAAACAGG
RNAcentral lists this ribosomal RNA (253 nucleotides) under uncultured bacterium. RNAcentral describes it as "partial 16S ribosomal RNA". It matches the Rfam family "Bacterial small subunit ribosomal RNA", at positions 524 to 776 of the family's 1533-position model. The record is from RNAcentral.